This 395-nucleotide ribosomal RNA is filed under the name uncultured bacterium. RNAcentral describes it as "partial 16S ribosomal RNA". It matches the Rfam family "Bacterial small subunit ribosomal RNA", at positions 523 to 918 of the family's 1533-position model. The record is from RNAcentral.
AUACGUAGGGUGCAAGCGUUAAUCGGAAUUACUGGGCGUAAAGCGUGCGCAGGCGGUUUUGUAAGACAGAGGUGAAAUCCCCGGGCUCAACCUGGGAACUGCCUUUGUGACUGCAAGGCUAGAGUACGGAAGAGGGGGAUGGCAUUCCGCGUGUAGCGGUGAAAUGCGUAGAUAUGCGGAGGAACACCGAUGGCGAAGGCAAUCCCCUGGGCCUGUACUGACGCCCAUGCACGAAAGCGUGGGGAGCAAACAGGAUUAGAUACCCUGGUAGUCCACGCCCUAAACGAUGUCAACUGGUUGCUGGGUCUUCAUUGACUCAGUAACGAAGCUAACGCGUGAAGUUGACCGCCUGGGGAGUACGGCCGCAAGGUUGAAACUCAAAUGAAUUGACGGGG